RNAcentral lists this ribosomal RNA (476 nucleotides) under uncultured bacterium. Its description in RNAcentral is "bacterial SSU rRNA". It matches the Rfam family "Bacterial small subunit ribosomal RNA", at positions 32 to 518 of the family's 1533-position model. The record is from RNAcentral.
AACGCUGGCGGCGUGCUUAACACAUGCAAGUCGAACGAUGACGAUGGUGCUUGCACCGUCUGAUUAGUGGCGAACGGGUGAGUAACACGUGAGUAACCUGCCCUCCUCUUCGGGAUAACCGCCGGAAACGGUGGCUAAUACCGGAUAUGAAUGCCUGCCGCAUGGUGGGUGUUGGAAAGAUUUAUCGGUGGGGGAUGGACUCGCGGCCUAUCAGUUUGUUGGUGAGGUAAUGGCUCACCAAGGCGAUGACGGGUAGCCGGCCUGAGAGGGCGACCGGCCACACUGGGACUGAGACACGGCCCAGACUCCUACGGGAGGCAGCAGUGGGGAAUAUUGCACAAUGGGCGAAAGCCUGAUGCAAGCGACGCCGCGUGGGGGAUGACGGCCUUCGGGUUGUAAACCUCUUUCAGCAGGGAAGAAGCGAGAGUGACGGUACCUGCAGAAGAAGCGCCGGCUAACUACGUGCCAGCAGCAGC